GUGAAUCAUCAAAUUUUUGAACGCAAAUUGCGCCUUUUUCGUAUGGCAUGUCUGUCUUAGGUCACCAUUUAACAAAUAAUGGGCAUUUCGGGUGCACACGUUGAUGAGCUUUCCAAAAUUAUGUAUUUUUAUUUUUGUUGUCGCAUGAUAAACAGCGCGAUGCUUUUUGUCAGUUCGAGUGUAGUAAAAUUUUUUCUUUCUUGUGUUGUAGAAAGCGGUAUCGCUCGAUAGGU
RNAcentral lists this unclassified non-coding RNA (233 nucleotides) under Paraglomerales sp. RNAcentral's name for it is "partial internal transcribed spacer 2". The record is from RNAcentral. Lineage: Eukaryota; Fungi; Glomeromycota; Glomeromycetes; Paraglomerales.